UAGCAGAGAAUACAAAUGCCUGAGGAAGGGUC
Molecule: non-coding RNA, 32 nt
Filed under: Mus musculus (house mouse)
Lineage: Eukaryota; Metazoa; Chordata; Mammalia; Rodentia; Muridae
Source: RNAcentral